UACGUAGGGUGCAAGCGUUGUCCGGAUUUAUUGGGCGUAAAGAGCUCGUAGGCGGUUAGUCACGUCGGAUGUGAAAUCCCAGAGCUUAACUCUGGGCCUGCAUUCGAUACGGGCUGACUAGAGUGUUGUAGGGGAGACUGGAACUCCUGGUGUAGCGGUGAAAUGCGCAGAUAUCAGGAAGAACACCGGUGGCGAAGGCGGGUCUCUGGGCAGUAACUGACGCUGAGGAGCGAAAGCGUGGGGAGCGAACAGG
RNAcentral lists this ribosomal RNA (253 nucleotides) under uncultured bacterium. Its description in RNAcentral is "partial 16S ribosomal RNA". It matches the Rfam family "Bacterial small subunit ribosomal RNA", at positions 524 to 776 of the family's 1533-position model. The record is from RNAcentral.